This 1556-nucleotide ribosomal RNA is filed under the name Escherichia coli. RNAcentral describes it as "bacterial SSU rRNA". It matches the Rfam family "Bacterial small subunit ribosomal RNA". Lineage: Bacteria; Pseudomonadati; Pseudomonadota; Gammaproteobacteria; Enterobacterales; Enterobacteriaceae. The record is from RNAcentral.
UUAAAUUGAAGAGUUUGAUCAUGGCUCAGAUUGAACGCUGGCGGCAGGCCUAACACAUGCAAGGCGAACGGUAACAGGAAGAAGCGUGCUUCUUUGCUGACGAGUGGCGGACGGGUGAGUAAUGUCUGGGAAACUGCCUGAUGGAGGGGGAUAACUACUGGAAACGGUAGCUAAUACCGCAUAACGUCGCAAGACCAAAGAGGGGGACCUUCGGGCCUCUUGCCAUCGGAUGUGCCCAGAUGGGAUUAGCUUGUUGGUGGGGUAACGGCUCACCAAGGCGACGAUCCCUAGCUGGUCUGAGAGGAUGACCAGCCACACUGGAACUGAGACACGGUCCAGACUCCUACGGGAGGCAGCAGUGGGGAAUAUUGCACAAUGGGCGCAAGCCUGAUGCAGCCAUGCCGCGUGUAUGAAGAAGGCCUUCGGGUUGUAAAGUACUUUCAGCGGGGAGGAAGGGAGUAAAGUUAAUACCUUUGCUCAUUGACGUUACCCGCAGAAGAAGCACCGGCUAACUCCGUGCCAGCAGCCGCGGUAAUACGGAGGGUGCAAGCGUUAAUCGGAAUUACUGGGCGUAAAGCGCACGCAGGCGGUUUGUUAAGUCAGAUGUGAAAUCCCCGGGCUCAACCUGGGAACUGCAUCUGAUACUGGCAAGCUUGAGUCUCGUAGAGGGGGGUAGAAUUCCAGGUGUAGCGGUGAAAUGCGUAGAGAUCUGGAGGAAUACCGGUGGCGAAGGCGGCCCCCUGGACGAAGACUGACGCUCAGGUGCGAAAGCGUGGGGAGCAAACAGGAUUAGAUACCCUGGUAGUCCACGCCGUAAACGAUGUCGACUUGGAGGUUGUGCCCUUGAGGCGUGGCUUCCGGAGCUAACGCGUUAAGUCGACCGCCUGGGGAGUACGGCCGCAAGGUUAAAACUCAAAUGAAUUGACGGGGGCCCGCACAAGCGGUGGAGCAUGUGGUUUAAUUCGAUGCAACGCGAAGAACCUUACCUGGUCUUGACAUCCACGGAAGUUUUCAGAGAUGAGAAUGUGCCUUCGGGAACCGUGAGACAGGUGCUGCAUGGCUGUCGUCAGCUCGUGUUGUGAAAUGUUGGGUUAAGUCCCGCAACGAGCGCAACCCUUAUCCUUUGUUGCCAGCGGUCCGGCCGGGAACUCAAAGGAGACUGCCAGUGAUAAACUGGAGGAAGGUGGGGAUGACGUCAAGUCAUCAUGGCCCUUACGACCAGGGCUACACACGUGCUACAAUGGCGCAUACAAAGAGAAGCGACCUCGCGAGAGCAAGCGGACCUCAUAAAGUGCGUCGUAGUCCGGAUUGGAGUCUGCAACUCGACUCCAUGAAGUCGGAAUCGCUAGUAAUCGUGGAUCAGAAUGCCACGGUGAAUACGUUCCCGGGCCUUGUACACACCGCCCGUCACACCAUGGGAGUGGGUUGCAAAAGAAGUAGGUAGCUUAACCUUCGGGAGGGCGCUUACCACUUUGUGAUUCAUGACUGGGGUGAAGUCGUAACAAGGUAACCGUAGGGGAACCUGCGGUUGGAUCACCUCCUUACCUUAAAGAAGC